This 402-nucleotide ribosomal RNA is filed under the name uncultured bacterium. RNAcentral describes it as "bacterial SSU rRNA". It matches the Rfam family "Bacterial small subunit ribosomal RNA", at positions 355 to 772 of the family's 1533-position model. The record is from RNAcentral.
UCGGGAAUUUUGGGCAAUGGGCGAAAGCCUGACCCAGCAACGCCGCGUGAAGGAUGAAGUAUUUCGGUAUGUAAACUUCGAAAGAAUGGGAAGAAACAAAUGACGGUACCAUUUAUAAGGUCCGGCUAACUACGUGCAAGCAGCCGCGGUAAUACGUAGGGACCAAGCGUUGUUCGGAUUUACUGGGCGUAAAGGGCGCGUAGGCGGCAAUUCAAGUCAUCUGUGAAAUCCCCGGGCUUAACUCGGAACGGUCAGAUGAUACUGCUUUGCUUGAGUGCGGAAGGGGCAAUCGGAAUUCUUGGUGUAGCGGUGAAAUGCGUAGAUAUCAAGAGGAACACCUGAGGUGAAGACGGGUUGCUGGGCCGACACUGACGCUGACAGCGCGAAAGCCAGGGGAGCAAA